RNAcentral lists this transfer RNA (76 nucleotides) under Capnocytophaga sputigena ATCC 33612. Its description in RNAcentral is "tRNA-Cys". It matches the Rfam family "tRNA". From Rfam's summary of the family: Transfer RNA (tRNA) molecules are approximately 80 nucleotides in length. Their secondary structure includes four short double-helical elements and three loops (D, anti-codon, and T loops). Lineage: Bacteria; Pseudomonadati; Bacteroidota; Flavobacteriia; Flavobacteriales; Flavobacteriaceae. The record is from RNAcentral.
AGGCAUCGUGGCCGAGGGGUUAGGCGGAGGUCUGCAAAACCUUAUACAGCGGUUCAAAUCCGCUCGAUGCCUCACU